ACGGAGGGUGCAAGCGUUAUCCGGAUUUAUUGGGUUUAAAGGGUCCGUAGGCGGAUCAUUAAGUCAGUGGUGAAAGCCGGCAGCUCAACUGUCGAACUGCCAUUGAUACUGAUGAUCUUGAAUACGGUUGAAGUUGGCGGAAUAGGUCAUGUAGCGGUGAAAUGCUUAGAUAUGACCUAGAACACCGAUUGCGAAGGCAGCCAACUAAGCCGUUAUUGACGCUGAGGGACGAAAGCGUGGGGAGCGAACAGG
Molecule: ribosomal RNA, 252 nt
Filed under: uncultured bacterium
Lineage: Bacteria
Description: partial 16S ribosomal RNA
Rfam family: Bacterial small subunit ribosomal RNA
Source: RNAcentral